UCUAAGAGCCUUAAAGAUACCUUGGCCCAGAUUUUGCGAAGAGGUAAAAACCCUACAUGAUGAGAGGCCUAAAAUAAAAGGUUUCGAAAUAGCUUUGAUGAUCCUUUCCAAACUGGUGGUGUUUCAGAGAGCAUUUGAUUUAAUUCCUAUGACAUAAGGUCUGAUUCUUGCUACUCAAAGUCCUGUAGCCCAACCAUCAUUAUGGAACCAUGAGACUCCCUACCUACCAUCAAAUGGUUCCAUCAUCAUUAAAAGACUGUUAGAGAGGCAGACUAUCAGUUCUCUACCAGGCCUGCUGAACCAGAA
Long non-coding RNA from Eptesicus fuscus (big brown bat), 306 nucleotides. RefSeq lists it as uncharacterized. Lineage: Eukaryota; Metazoa; Chordata; Mammalia; Chiroptera; Vespertilionidae. The record is from RefSeq and is a predicted model, not a curated record. The transcript has 3 exons.